RNAcentral lists this long non-coding RNA (245 nucleotides) under Malus domestica (apple). Its description in RNAcentral is "long non-coding RNA (MDOM_LNC007540)". Lineage: Eukaryota; Viridiplantae; Streptophyta; Magnoliopsida; Rosales; Rosaceae. The record is from RNAcentral.
UAUACCUUUGUAGAUUCCUCUUUGCAUAAGCAAAGGCUAAUCACCCAAAGAGAGGGCCUUCAUUCCUCGCAUCUUAAAUCUAUAGAUUUGGAUGGAUGAAUAGGUUUCUCUAAGUUCCCAAAAUAGGGAACCUCUAAGUCUCUUCACCAAGGAGAGAUUGGAGAAGAAAUGAGUGACCUUGGAGUAGUGGGAUUGCAAGAUGCACCCUCAAGGUGGCCGGCCUCUUUAGAGAGAAAUGGAGAGAC